RNAcentral lists this unclassified non-coding RNA (341 nucleotides) under soil metagenome. RNAcentral's name for it is "partial contains 5.8S ribosomal RNA, internal transcribed spacer 2, and large subunit ribosomal RNA". The stretch from base 1 to 120 matches the Rfam family "5.8S ribosomal RNA", at positions 35 to 154 of the family's 154-position model. The record is from RNAcentral.
GAUGAAGAACGCAGCGAAAUGCGAUAAGUAGUGUGAAUUGCAGAAUUCAGUGAAUCAUCGAAUCUUUGAACGCACAUUGCGCCCUUUGGUAUUCCAAAGGGCAUGCCUGUUCGAGCGUCAUUUGUACCCUCAAGCUUUGCUUGGUGUUGGGCGUCUUGUCUCUAGCUUUGCUGGAGACUCGCCUUAAAGUAAUUGGCAGCCGGCCUACUGGUUUCGGAGCGCAGCACAAGUCGCACUCUCUAUCAGCAAAGGUCUAGCAUCCAUUAAGCCUUUUUUUCAACUUUUGACCUCGGAUCAGGUGGGGAUACCCGCUGAACUUAAGCAUAUCAAUAAGCGGAGGA